GACGAACGCUGGCGGCGUGCUUAACACAUGCAAGUCGUACGGUAAGGCCCUUUCGGGGGUACACGAGUGGCGCACGGGUGAGUAACACGUGAGUAACCUGCCCACAACUUUGGGAUAACGCUAGGAAACUGGUGCUAAUACUGGCUAUGUGCUCCUGCUGCAUGGUGGGGGUUGGACAGCUCCGGCGGUGGUGGAUGGACUCGCGGCCUAUUAGCUUGUUGGUGGGGUAGUGGCCUACCAAGGCGGCGACGGGUAACCGGCCUGAGAGGGUGACCGGCCACAUUGGGACUGAGAGACGGGCAAGACUCCGACGGGAGGCAGAAGUGGGGAAUGUUGCACAAUGGGAGGAAGCCUGAGGCAGCAACGCCGCGUGCGGGAUGACGGCCUUCGGGUUGUAAGCAGCUUUCAGCAGGGACGAAGCUUUGUGUGACGGUACCUGCAGAAGAAGCACCGGCUAACUACGUG
Molecule: ribosomal RNA, 465 nt
Filed under: uncultured bacterium
Lineage: Bacteria
Description: partial 16S ribosomal RNA
Rfam family: Bacterial small subunit ribosomal RNA
Source: RNAcentral